GUGCCAGCAGCCGGGGUAAUACGGAGGGUGCGAGCGUUGUCCGGAAUCACUGGGCGUAAAGGGCGCGUAGGCGGCUGUGUAAGUCACCUGUGAAAUUCCGGGGCUCAACUCCGGGGCGGCAGGUGAGACUGCACGGCUGGAGCUCGGUAGAGGCGAGUGGAAUUCCCGGUGUAGCGGUGAAAUGCGCAGAUAUCAGGAAGAACACCCGUGGCGAAAGCGGCUCUCUGGGACGGUACUGACGCUGAGACGCGAAAGCGUGGGGAGCGAACAGGAUUAGAUACCCUGGUAGUCCACGCUGUAAACGAUGGGUACUAGGUAGGGGGGGUUCCUAAGCCUUCCCUGCUGGAGCCAAUGUAUUAAGUACCCCGCCUGGGGAGUACGGCCGCAAGGCUAAAACUCAAAGGAAUUGACGG
This 413-nucleotide ribosomal RNA is filed under the name uncultured bacterium. Its description in RNAcentral is "bacterial SSU rRNA". It matches the Rfam family "Bacterial small subunit ribosomal RNA", at positions 505 to 916 of the family's 1533-position model. The record is from RNAcentral.